RNAcentral lists this ribosomal RNA (433 nucleotides) under uncultured bacterium. RNAcentral's name for it is "partial 16S ribosomal RNA". It matches the Rfam family "Bacterial small subunit ribosomal RNA", at positions 28 to 507 of the family's 1533-position model. The record is from RNAcentral.
AACGAACGCUGGCGGCAGGCCUAACACAUGCAAGUCGAGCGAGAACUUCGGUCCUAGCGGCGGACGGGUGAGUAACGCGGGGGAACGUGCCCUUUGCUUCGGAAUAGCCCUGGGAAACUGGGAGUAAUACCGGAUGAGCCCUUUGGGGGAAAGAUUUAUCGGCGAAGGAUGGGCCCGCGUUGGAUCAGGUGGUUGGUGGGGUAAUGGCCUCCCAAGCCGACGAUCCAUAGCUGGGACGUGAGGAUGAUCAGCCACACUGGGACUGAGACACGGCCCAGACUCCUACGGGAGGCGGCAGUGGGGAAUGCUGGCCAGUGGGGUGAACCCUGAUCGCGUCAUGCCGCGAGAGCGAUGAAGGCCGUAGUGUUGUAAAGCUCGUUCAGCUGUGAACAUAAUGACGGUACCAGCAGAAGAAGCCCCGGCUAACUCCGUG